This 258-nucleotide unclassified non-coding RNA is filed under the name uncultured fungus. RNAcentral describes it as "sequence contains ITS1, 5.8S rRNA gene". The stretch from base 210 to 258 matches the Rfam family "5.8S ribosomal RNA", at positions 1 to 49 of the family's 154-position model. Lineage: Eukaryota; Fungi. The record is from RNAcentral.
UUUCCGUAGGUGAACCUGCGGAAGGAUCAUUAAUGAAGUUUGGGCUUCGGCCCUCUCUCUUCUAAAACACUUGUGAACUUACAUCGUUGCUUUGGCAGGUUUCCUUCUGAGUUGAAAACUCAGAAUGGUUAAAUCGAGAGAUGCCUGCCAAAGACAUUCAAUAACCCUUUUUAUAUUGUCUGAUUUUUGUUUUAAACAAAAUAUAAUAAAACUUUCAACAAUGGAUCUCUUGGCUCUGGCAUCGAUGAAGAACGCAGC